RNAcentral lists this ribosomal RNA (548 nucleotides) under uncultured bacterium. RNAcentral describes it as "bacterial SSU rRNA". It matches the Rfam family "Bacterial small subunit ribosomal RNA", at positions 355 to 896 of the family's 1533-position model. The record is from RNAcentral.
UAGGGAAUCUUCGGCAAUGGACGGAAGUCUGACCGAGCAACGCCGCGUGAGUGAAGAAGGAUUUCGGUUCGUAAAGCUCUGUUGUUAGGGAAGAAUGAUUGUGUAGUAACUAUACACAGUAGAGACGGUACCUAACCAGAAAGCCACGGCUAACUACGUGCCAGCAGCCGCGGUAAUACGUAGGUGGCAAGCGUUGUCCGGAAUUAUUGGGCGUAAAGCGCGCGCAGGUGGUUUAAUAAGUCUGAUGUGAAAGCCCACGGCUCAACCGUGGAGGGUCAUUGGAAACUGUUAAACUUGAGUGCAGGAGAGAAAAGUGGAAUUCCUAGUGUAGCGGUGAAAUGCGUAGAGAUUAGGAGGAACACCAGUGGCGAAGGCGGCUUUUUGGCCUGUAACUGACACUGAGGCGCGAAAGCGUGGGGAGCAAACAGGAUUAGAUACCCUGGUAGUCCACGCCGUAAACGAUGAGUGCUAAGUGUUGGUCUCAUAAGAGAUCAGUGCUGCAGCUAACGCAUUAAGCACUCCGCCUGGGGGGUACGACCGCAAGGUUG